This 497-nucleotide ribosomal RNA is filed under the name uncultured bacterium. RNAcentral's name for it is "partial 16S ribosomal RNA". It matches the Rfam family "Bacterial small subunit ribosomal RNA", at positions 28 to 507 of the family's 1533-position model. The record is from RNAcentral.
GAUGAACGCUGGCGGCGUGCCUAAUACAUGCAAGUCGAGCGAACAGACGAGGAGCUUGCUCCUCUGACGUUAGCGGCGGAAGGGUGAGUAACACGUGGAUAACCUACCUAUAAGACUGGGAUAACUUCGGGAAACCGGAGCUAAUACCGGAUAACAUGUUGAACCGCAUGGUUCAACAGUGAAAGACGGUUUUGCUGUCACUUAUAGAUGGAUCCGCGUCGCAUUAGCUAGUUGGUAAGGUAACGGCUUACCAAGGCAACGAUGCGUAGCCGACCUGAGAGGGUGUACGGCCACACUGGAACUGAGACACGGUCCAGACUCCUACGGGAGGCAGCAGUAGGGAAUCUUCCGCAAUGGGCGAAAUCCUGACGGAGCAACGCCGCGUGAGUGAAGAAGGUCUUCGGAUCGUAAAACUCUGUUAUUAGGGAAGAACACAUGUGUAAGUAACUAUGCACGUCUUGACGGUACCUAAUCAGAAAGCCACGGCUAACUACGUG